This 252-nucleotide ribosomal RNA is filed under the name uncultured bacterium. RNAcentral describes it as "partial 16S ribosomal RNA". It matches the Rfam family "Bacterial small subunit ribosomal RNA", at positions 524 to 776 of the family's 1533-position model. The record is from RNAcentral.
UACGGAGGAUGCGAGCGUUAUCCGGAUUUAUUGGGUUUAAAGGGUGCGUAGGCGGAAUAUCAAGUCAGCGGUAAAAAUUCGGGGCUCAACCCCGUCGUGCCGUUGAAACUGGCGCCCUUGAGUGGGCGAGAAGUAUGCGGAAUGCGUGGUGUAGCGGUGAAAUGCAUAGAUAUCACGCAGAACCCCGAUUGCGAAGGCAGCAUACCGGCGCCCUACUGACGCUGAAGCACGAAAGCGUGGGUAUCGAACAGG